RNAcentral lists this long non-coding RNA (324 nucleotides) under Elaeis guineensis (African oil palm). RNAcentral describes it as "long non-coding RNA (EGUI_LNC044909)". The record is from RNAcentral. Lineage: Eukaryota; Viridiplantae; Streptophyta; Magnoliopsida; Arecales; Arecaceae.
CUCCUUUUUUAUAUGAAAAGAUAAAAUAAUUAUUUUAUAAAAAUACUUACUUUCUUUCUCUCCCCCUUUCUAGUCACAUAACCAACUUGCAAAAAUACUUUCUUUCUCUUCCCCUUUCUAGUCAGAUAACCAACUUGUAAAAAGUACAAAAAAUUUUUCUCUCUCUCUUUCUUAUUUCUCUCCCUUUUUGACAUCAUCAAAAAUAGAUUAAAGAGAGUUUAUAAAUAGUAAAAUUUUUAAUAAGUGAGAGAAGUAGGUUAUGAGCUACGGUCCUACAGCAGGUAUCAGAGUAACUUUUAAUUGAAUAGAAAUUUAUUCAUAAAU